GAUGAACGCUGGCGGCGUGCCUAAUACAUGCAAGUCGAACGCUGAAGGAGGAGCUUGCUCUUCUGGAUGAGUUGCGAACGGGUGAGUAACGCGUAGGUAACCUGCCUGGUAGCGGGGGAUAACUAUUGGAAACGAUAGCUAAUACCGCAUGACAACAGUUAUUGCAUGAUAACUGUUUAAAAGUGGCAACUGCUCCACUACCAGAUGGCCCUGCGUUGUAUUAGCUAGUUGGUGAGGUAACGGCUCACCAAGGCGACGAUACAUAGCCGACCUGAGAGGGUGAUCGGCCACACUGGGACUGAGACACGGCCCAGACUCCUACGGGAGGCAGCAGUAGGGAAUCUUCGGCAAUGGACGGAAGUCUGACCGAGCAACGCCGCGUGAGUGAAGAAGGGUGUCGGAUCGUAAAGCUCUGUUGUAAGAGAAGAACGAGUGUGAGAGUGGAAAGUUCACACUGUGACGGUAGCUUACCAGAAAGGGACGGCUAACUACGUG
This 495-nucleotide ribosomal RNA is filed under the name uncultured bacterium. RNAcentral's name for it is "partial 16S ribosomal RNA". It matches the Rfam family "Bacterial small subunit ribosomal RNA", at positions 28 to 507 of the family's 1533-position model. The record is from RNAcentral.